Long non-coding RNA from Cydia fagiglandana, 452 nucleotides. RefSeq lists it as uncharacterized. The transcript is spliced from 3 exons. The record is from RefSeq and is a predicted model, not a curated record. Lineage: Eukaryota; Metazoa; Arthropoda; Insecta; Lepidoptera; Tortricidae.
CAUGGCGUGACUUGAGCCGAAAGGCUCGGUCAAAUAAUGCUGCAGCCAACCGGGCUCGGGCCCAGACUGGCAAUGCUGUGGAAAUACCAAUGGUCAGUCAGGAGGAACAGCUAAUCCUGACUGCAAUCGGAAAAGAUACCUCCGAGGGAGUGGGUCCAGAGGAGUCAAGGAUUGGAGAUGACAUCCUCAAUCAACUAAAAAUCCUCAACGAGACGCAACAAAAAAAUUAGAACUUUUAAAGGAGAGCAACGUCAUGUUGGCGAAUAGUAAUCUUUUGGAGGAGACGGAGAACAUAGAAAACUUGGAGGAUACUGAAAUAAUGGAAGAGGAAGACGAUUAAUAGUAGUUAAUUAAUGUGACUUCAUUCUUUCACACUUCUUCAUGUAAGGCGUUAUGUUUGUCUACACUCUAGUAUACAAUUGUGUUUUUAGCUACUAAUACGAAAAAAAUAC